UGUGGACCGACUUGCCAAGAAGUCAUGCCCCACUCCCUCCAGCAAACGGGAAAAGGGAUUCAAGAUGUAUAUCGCCAGCUACAUCGAUAAUUACGAGGAUGGUGUUAAAGCACUCAAAACCUGUUGUUUUGGUGAGCAGCCAUUGUUCCUGUGUGGCGGGCUGUGCCUUAUGCAAUCAUUUGGUUGCACUUCUUUAUCAGACUGCCCAUUAUUCGCAGCUAAACAUUCCUGCUGUUCCCCCGGUGCACAGCUGCACAGACACCGAGCAGAUCUGGCAUAAACCAAGGACACUGGGUGUUAGGCCAGGCACAGUUGGAGAAAUGGAGUUUUGAAAACCCAGAAAUUCAACAACAGACUGUGUAAGAAGUUCUCUCUACAAGGCGCUGGAUGGGGAACUGCCGGAUCUUGGUGUACAAAGACUUUCCCCCUUCAGGGGGCGUGCUGUCAUUUCAGCAUAAACCACUAGCAAUGAGGGAAGUCAUCAACAUCCCAUCUGCCCUUGCCUUACCCUCCCCCUUCCCAUCCACAGCUACAGGC
Sinocyclocheilus grahami is the source of this 537-nucleotide long non-coding RNA. RefSeq lists it as uncharacterized. The record is from RefSeq and is a predicted model, not a curated record. The transcript is spliced from 4 exons. Lineage: Eukaryota; Metazoa; Chordata; Actinopteri; Cypriniformes; Cyprinidae.